CGCGGAUGUUUGUAAGGCAUCCAAAAUAAGCAGCCGCCAGCGCCAAUAAAUAAGCCCAUUAACCGGCGAAGUUCGAGUUUACGAUCCCCCAUGCUUUUUUCAAAGUUGCUGAGGGGCGGGAAUCUUCGUUGCGGGAAGAAGAAAAGGCAAUUCCAAAGGUGAAAACGCAGCCAACUGGCUCACGGCAAAGAGUGGUCGGAAGAAGCGCUGCCCCUACACGAAGCACCAGACACUGGAGCUGGAGAAGGAGUUUCUGUUCAACAUGUACCUUACUCGAGAGCGGCGCCUAGAGAUUAGCCGCAGCGUCCACCUCACGGACAGACAAGUGAAAAUCUGGUUUCAGAACCGCAGGAUGAAACUGAAGAAAAUGAAUCGAGAAAACCGGAUCCGGGAGCUCACAGCCAACUUUAAUUUUUCCUGAUGAAUCUCCAGGCGACGCGGUUUUUUCACUUCCCGAGCGCUGGUCCCCUCCCUCUGUCUUCAGCCUCUGCCCAGGAACUCGCACCUGUGCUGGAGCCCUGUUCCUCCCUCCCACACUCGCCAUCUCCUGGGCCGUUACAUCUGUGCAGGGCUGGUUUGUUCUGACUUUUUGUUUCUUUGUGUUUGCUUGGUGCUGGUUUAUUUGUUGUUUUCUGGGGGAAAAAGCCAUAUCGUGCUAAAAUUCUAUAGAGAUAGAUAUUGUCCUAAGUGUCAAGUCGUGACUGGGCUGGGUUUGCUGUCUUGGGGUCCCACUGCUCGAAAUGGCCCCUGUCUUCGGCCGAGCUGGUUUCCUGCCCAGCCUGGGGCAAACCUAGCCGGAAGGCCGAGGUCCCAUUGUUGGCGCUGAGGUGUCUGGCCUGAGGUCAAUGGUGCAAAGGAGCCGCCACCGGGCAUGUCUGCCUGGAGUGCUGUGCUGUGUUUAAUCAGGGGAUACAGGCCCCUGGGUUUCUUUUUUCUUUCUUC
This 942-nucleotide small RNA is filed under the name Pan troglodytes (chimpanzee). Its description in RNAcentral is "processed transcript". The record is from RNAcentral. Lineage: Eukaryota; Metazoa; Chordata; Mammalia; Primates; Hominidae.